AAGAUAAAUCACUAUCCCUCUGGUUCUUUUUUAUAUAAAAUCCUCAUCCUCGGGAUAAAUUCUUUGGGGCUAACAUCCUCUUUUUAGAUGAGGGCCGUGAAGCUCAUAAAAACCUUUGGACUCUUUCAUCCCACAUAUCACCCAUAAAUCAUAACCACCUUUUCGUGUCAUCGUUUCUUGCUUUCUACAGACACAACAUAGGUUACAUCUGUAUGCAUUCACCUAAGUAGGGAGAGUGUGUCAAAGAAUAUACUUACCAAUGUACAACAACUUCCAACCAGUUGGUCCAACUCUUCCUUGAACAAGGCUUUGUCUCAAUAUAUGUGAAAAAAGAUUCACAAAUAUCAUAAAUAUAAUAAAUUAAUGUUCAAUUUUAUAUCAUGAUAGAUGACAACAU
Molecule: long non-coding RNA, 397 nt
Organism: Haliotis rufescens (red abalone)
Lineage: Eukaryota; Metazoa; Mollusca; Gastropoda; Lepetellida; Haliotidae
Exons: 2
Source: RefSeq, a predicted model, not a curated record